Gallus gallus (chicken) is the source of this 1741-nucleotide long non-coding RNA. Lineage: Eukaryota; Metazoa; Chordata; Aves; Galliformes; Phasianidae. The record is from Ensembl.
CACACAGCAGCAUGAUCAGUUCCCAGUAUCUGUCCCUUUGCAGCAGCUGCUACCAGGAACACUUGAACAGGGAAAGGCUGAAGCCCACUUUGCAGCGAUCCAUGGGCAAGAGAGAACUGAGGAUUUUUAUCAAGAUUCUUUACUGUUGGAUUUGAUAGGAUCCUGUGGAUAGCUAAAAGCAGGAAGCGAAUCAAGAAUGACGAUUAAUAUGAGGGAAGACAGCAGUUGACGGUUUGCUGAGCUGUACAGUUCCUAGCCACCAAGGUACUUACAGACUAAUCUUUAAACAUAGAUGUGAAUCACAGAGAUUGACUCAAUAAUUAUUUGUAGUUUUCCUAAGCCUUAUUUAUAUACAAUCACCUCUUCAUUCCAGAUGCUCUACAAUUACAGAACAAAAAAAUAGUAUUUAGGGGCAGUCACAAUCUAAAUUAUUAAUUUCAAGAGGUUGGAAGGAUAAUUAGGUAAUGCUACUCUUUCACGUUGCUUGUUAGGCUAGAUUCUUCUGUAGCUUCCACCACUACAAAAUUAUGUUAAGUCUACCUCUUUCACAGUUAAUGUGCAAUAAUAUACAGAUUCUUCUUUUCCUGGUGACUAUAUUGUAUGUUUCUGUAGUUGCAGUACUAAAUUUUGCUUCUUCUAACAACUCUGUCCCAAUUUGUUUCAUUAUUAUUUCUUGUUAUAAACUUUCAUAGCAUUUUCACAAAUGAUUCAUUUUAGCCAGUAUCUACAAGACAGAAUAAAAGUUCAUUCAAAAGCAAAAAAUAAACUUUUCACAGAGCCACAGAAUUACAGAAUUGUAGGGGUUGGUGUAAGAGAUUAUUAUUUUAUAUGAUUGACUCAAAGUUUGCUGAGGAACAAGUCCAGGCAAGUCCUGGGCAAAGGCAGAGAAAUCUUCUGUCUGGAGGACACUGAUGGACAGGUCCUGGCUAAGGGUUGUGAAAUCCUUUAAGGAGCACAGAUGGACAAGUCCAGGGGCAACAACAGAGGGAUAAGGUGCUGGUAAUGGCCGGGAAACGAUAUUUUGUGUGGACUUGUCUCGAGGAAGAUGGCCAUCUCAGGAGGUGCACACAUGACUCUUGCUCAAGCGCUGAGGGAUGUCACAUAGGCAGGAAAAAAAGGAGGAUAAAAGAGGGUCCAACAACCAGGAGAAGAGAGGGGUUUUCUGCCAUCUGAUCUCUCACCACGACACACUGGAGAGGGUUUCUGCCAUCAGAUCCCUCACCACAACGGAGUCGAGGUUUCUGCCAUCAGAUCCUUCACUACGGACCGUAUGCUGACGGACUUCUCUGGGCCUGCUACCUGAGACCUGCUGCUUCCUCCCAGACUUACUCUGCAGCUUCUUCCUGGACCCACCCGGUACCUGCACCUUCUCGUUGCCCAAGACCAGCCUCGCUGCUCCUGCCGUUCGGCCUCGGACAGCCGGAACGUCGUGCAACGGGACUACUGCCGGAUCCUGGUGGUGACUAUCCCCGCUUUACGCAAUUCUUGCUUCUUUCUAUCUUUUCUAUCGCUCGCCUUCCCUUUCCCAUCACCCCAAUCCAUAAUAGUGUCCGUCCUCCCCUUUCUUCAUCUCCCUUAUUAACAUUUGUAAUAAAGUGGUCGGACCAACAUUUGAACCGUUGUUUCUUAAUCUCACGCCGGGCAUACAUAUUUCAAAGAACCUCCUCUCCCUCCUAUAAAUUGGAGCUAGACAGUUGGAAGGGACCUCAAGAGAUCCUCUGGUCCAACCCUGUUGCUAAAG